AGCAGCCGCGGUAAUUCCAGCUCCAAUAGCGUAUAUUAAAGUUGUUGCAGUUAAAAAGCUCGUAGUUGAAUUUCGGGAUCAAUUAAUCGGUCGUGCCUCUGGUACGCACUGGUUUUAUUGGUUUCUCCCUUCUGACGAACCAGGAUGUCAUUAAUUUGGUGUCUUGGAGAAUCAGGACUGUUACUUUGAAAAAUUAGAGUGUUUAAAGCAGGCUUCUAGGCAUGAAUACAUUAGCAUGGAAUAAUGAAAUAGGACGUUUGAUCCUAUUUUGUUGGUUUCUAGGAUCGACGUAAUGAUUAAUAGGGAUAGUUGGGGGCAUUAGUAUUCAAUUGUCAGAGGUGAAAUUCUUGGAUUUAUUGAAGACUAACUAUUGCGAAAGCAUUUGCCAAGGAUGUUUUCAUUAAUCAAGAACGAAAGUUAGGGGAUCGAAGACGAUCAGAUACCGUCGUAGUCUUAACCAUAAACUAUGCCGACUAGGGAUCGGAUGAUGUUAAAUUUUUUUAAUGUACUCAUUCGGUAC
Molecule: ribosomal RNA, 520 nt
Filed under: uncultured Glomus
Lineage: Eukaryota; Fungi; Glomeromycota; Glomeromycetes; Glomerales; Glomeraceae
Description: SSU rRNA
Rfam family: Eukaryotic small subunit ribosomal RNA
Source: RNAcentral